Non-coding RNA from Triticum aestivum (bread wheat), 126 nucleotides. Lineage: Eukaryota; Viridiplantae; Streptophyta; Magnoliopsida; Poales; Poaceae. The record is from Rfam.
GUGAUACUCCCUCCGACCGAGAAAGCUUGUCCCUCAAAUGGAUGUAUCUAGCACCAAGUUAGUGCUAGAUACAUCCAUUUGAGGAAUAAGUUUGGGACAAGCUUUUUCGGACGGAGGGAGUACUAG